Molecule: ribosomal RNA, 468 nt
Filed under: uncultured bacterium
Lineage: Bacteria
Description: bacterial SSU rRNA
Rfam family: Bacterial small subunit ribosomal RNA
Source: RNAcentral
UUCCAGACUCCUACGGGAGGCAGCAGUGAGGAAUAUUGGUCAAUGGUCGGGAGACUGAACCAGCCAAGCCGCGUGAGGGAUGAAGGUACAGAGUAUCGUAAACCUCUUUUGUCAGGGAACAAAGGCGGGGACGUGUCCCCGGAUGAGUGUACCUGAAGAAAAAGCAUCGGCUAACUCCGUGCCAGCAGCCGCGGUAAUACGGAGGAUGCGAGCGUUAUCCGGAUUCAUUGGGUUUAAAGGGUGCGUAGGUUGUUUUAUAAGUUAGCGGUGAAAUACCGAUGCUCAACAUCGGGGCUGCCGCUAAUACUGUAGGACUAGAGAUCGGAUGCAGCAGGCGGAAUGUGUAGUGUAGCGGUGAAAUGCAUAGAUAUUACACAGAACACCGAUUGCGAAGGCAGCUUGCUAGGCCGGAUCUGACACUGAUGCACGAAAGCGUGGGGAUCGAACAGGAUUAGAUACCCCGGUACG